CAGCUCAAAUUGCUGCCAUUUUUGCUGAAAAAACAGACCUAGAAAUCCCAGCCAAAACCCAGUUCCAAAACACCUAAAACCGGCACCAAAAACCCGAUGAAACACCGUAAAAAUCAGCUUCUAAACCCCUCCAUAAACCAGCCCUUAAAAACAUCUUCAAGCAGUCUCAAAGAAGCCCCAAAACCAGUAAAAAAUGCACCAAACUCCAGCUCAAAACCAUCAACUUCACUAAAUGUUUCGGUCAAGCAUAGAGGUGUGUCGAGGUUCGAGGUUCGAAGGCUUCAUCCGUGGUCCGCAGACUCCAAAUGAUUUGUUAUUGUACAUUUGAGGUUCCUCUUCCUUUCCAGAUUCUUUUAAUAAUGCUUUAGCUUGGGUUAUAAAAUUGUUGAAUGAAUAGUUUGUUGCUAUGUGUUUGAAAUAAGCAGUGCACUUAUUUAGAUUAUAUUUGUAUUUUUUAUUCAUGUUUAAUCCUUGUUAAUUCUAAGGCUCAAUUAGUUCGGUGAUAGUUGAAUUAUAACCCAAAUAAUAAAUCACUUUGUUAAUUGAUCUUGUUUCUAGUUGAAGGUUAAGAAUAUAAUUGGUAGUACUGUUGGAUAAGAACUUCAGAAUGGAUAAGGAAAUUUGGACUUAAACAUUGGGCCAAGGUCAAUGGAAUUAAAUGGGAACAAAUGAAUAAUGUGUGCGUGUGUGUGAAUUUUGAGUAUCUCAAGGUAUGGUUUACUACUUAAUAAGAACAUGUGCAAUUAGCUCUUGAUACUGAUUUUUCUCCAAAUGUAUUAUACUGUUUGAUUGGUUUAGUAUUUACAUACCUGAUAGAGUUUGAAUUGUCUAUGAUAAUUUAUCGAUUUUUCUAUUUAUCUUUGAAGCAAAUAAAUCAAUACGGUGGGAUACAUGCUAAUUUGUGCUUAUCGUAUUUGAGAUUUAGUUGUACAUGAAGGCAGUGAGAACACUUUUUUUAAGAAUAUGCACGUUUUUUUACUCUCUUAAAUUUCAAAUACACUUUGUCCCCAAUGAGAUUCCAUAACUCUUGUCCUCUAAUAGGCAUCUCGAUUUAGUUUAGGAAGUAAAUCAAAUAUCGUAGCUCGCUUUAGGUUAAUGAAUAAAUUAUUAAAACUAUGGGUACGACUCCCGUGACAUGGUUGUGAUAAUUAAUUUUAAAUUAUAUUAAAAAUAGGAGCAUCUUUAAUUUGACUUUAAAAUAUAUAACCCUUUUUUUCUUAAAAUAAUUUGAGGUGUGUCACUCUUAAAACCUAUAAUACAUGGCCCUCACAAAAUUAGAUCAAGAGCUAAUCCUUUGAGAAAGUAACUUGGGGUGUGCCAUAUACAAAUAAAAUCUUUUAAUUUAUGGCCCUCAUAAAAAUACAAGAUUAGUUUAGAAAUGCCUUGACCUUUCGUAGUUUUCUUUAGGCACGUUAAUUAAAUAAUUGUCAUAGCUACGGGUACGGUUCUCGUGAUGUAGUCAUGACGCUUAAUUACUAAAAUUCGGGGGUAUAUUUAUGUGACCCGGCCACAAUUUAAUCUCUAAUAAAUUAAACAUGUUGUAGAUCGUGGGUAUGGUUCCUGUGACACGAUUCACAAUGUGCAUCAAAUAAACAAGGGUACGACAAUCGUAACUUGUUCCAGAUUAAUUCCAUAAAAAAUAAUUAAAAGUGGUUUAAAAGGUUAAAAUGCACAAUAUGUUUUAAACAUGUAAUAAAUCGGAUAAUAGUUUAAGCGACUGUGCUAGAACCACGGAGCCCGGGAAUGCCUAACACCUUCUCCCGGGUUAACAAAAUUCCUUAUCUAGAAUUUCUGGUUCGCAGACUUAAAAAAUAAAAGUCGAAUUUCCUCGAUUUGGGAUUUUAAAAUAAAUCGGUGACUUGGGACACCAAUUAAACUAUCCCAAGUGGCGACUCUAAUAAAUUAAAUAAUCUCAUUUCGAAUAAUGCCACUUUAAUUGGAAAAACUCCUAUAUACCCUCGGGGGGGGGGGGGGGCAUGUGUGACAGCUCUGUCGACUCUGCUGGGGAACGAACCCAGAAUCUCUGGUUUUAGGUUCAAGAAUUCCAGCUUAGAAUAACUGUUAUACUUGCCUUUGUUUAUUAUAUGAUUUUUACAUGUUUGGGCAUAAUGUGCUAAAUAUCGCUUUUUAUUGCUUUGAUUUAUUUAAACUGUAUAUAAACUGUUACGAAACCCUUCUCUUCUCAUCUUCGGGUAUGUGCACGCUGGCGUGACUCCUCUUUCUAUUAGUGUCAUACCUUGAAAUAAGAAAGAGGCUCGGACAAGUUACAAAGCCGGAUGACCUUUUGGUUCCUGAUACGUAGCCCCCCUGGCUCGAGUUGUCCACUCAGGUACACAAGUCUAGAAUAAUUUAACCAGGUUAUAAACUUAGAAUAACUCAGCCUCAUGUCGGAUCCCUAGUAGGAACGCUUGUUUGCAUCAUGUGCAUUUAACUUUGGGGACUCAACACAGGGGUUAGGUCCGUCUAGGACAGGUGGACCCCAGAAUCAAAGAUCAUCCUGAUGCAUAUUUUACGUGCUACUUGUGCAAUUAUUUGUUUUGGUUUGCAUGUUGACCGGUUGCUUCGGUUUGCAUGUUGAGGUAUGAGAGAAUUGAUUACCCGUUUUUGAAAAAACCUGGCGUCCAAAAUAAGCCGAAACUCUGCCGAAAUUUUGGAAGAAAAAAAAAAGAAAGGUCAUUCAAGAUGAGCCAAAACUUUCAAGUGUCAUAUUUCCUUUGUUCCGUCAAAACUGACUGAACUACGCAGGUCUGAUUCUCACCGGAUGUGAGAUACGUAGGCAAACCUCAUCGAUUCUGACCCCAAUUUUCAAAAAAAUUCAAAAAGUUUAUUUUUUCUUAGUUCCUUCUUUAGAAAUCUUUCCUUAGAAAUUCAAAAAAAAAAGAAGUUUUUAAACUCAAAAAUAGUUUUCUUCUUUCUGAAAUCUUUCAUAUGAAAAAAAUCAAAAGAAAUAAAAAUCCAAAAUGCGGGUUUCCUUUAUUUUGAAGUAUUUUUCUAAAAAAAAUUAAAAAAAAACCAAAAAAAAAAAUAGAAUUAAAAAAAAGAAGAAGAAGAAAAUAUUCUUUUCCUUCUUUAAAAGUAUUUCUUUCGUAAAUGCCAACAAAAUAAAUAUUUGAAAAAAGGUUGAAGUCCAUAAAUAUUUUUGCUUUUCUUUAGAAGUACUUUUGUAAAUAAAUAAAAAGCUCAGAAAUUCAAAAUAUUUUCUUAAAAGUCUCUCUUUCAAAAAUUAAGAGGCAACAUCCAAAAUCCAAAAAUAUUUUCUUUCCUCUUUAGAAAAAGAGAAACAAAUAAAAAUUCAAACAAAAAUAUUUUAUUUUUACUUUUAAAAUUCCCAAAGUUCAAAUCAAAAGCAAAUUAAUUUUUAGAAGUCUUUCUUUAAAAAAAAACUAAACAAAAAUCAAAAAAAAAAUUCCUUUCUUCUUUUAAAGCAUUUCUUUCAAAAUAUUCCAACAAAAAAAAGAGUUAGUUUAUUUACUCUAUUUUUUAUCUUCCCGAACUACGCAAGAUCUGAUUCAUGCGGUGUCAUGAUACGUAGGCAAACCCCAUCGGAUUCGAUCAUAGCUAUAAAAUAAAACCGAGUGAAAAAUAAUUUGAAAAAAAAAAGAGAGAAAGAAAAAAAAUUGAUUGAAUGAAAAAGAAAGAAAAGAGCGAAAAAGGGAAAAAAGAGAGUGACAAAAAAUGAAAGAGUGACAAAAAUAAAAAGAAAAGAAAAGAGAGUGUCAAAAAAAUAAAAAAUAAAAGAGCGACAGAAACAAAAUGAAAAAAAAAUAAAAAAUCAAGAGUGAUUUAAAGAGAGAUAGAAUAAAAGAAAAGAAAUACAUACUCAAAGGGUUAGUUAAGGCCGAGAUGAAACAUGCAACCGUUCAAACACAUGGUAGAAGCGUUUAACUGUUAGGUGCAUUGCAUCCCAACGUGCGAUUUGCUAUAUGUUAAAUGUCUCAAAACUAACAAGGUUGUGGUGUGAGCAAAUUAGCUAAGUUAUGUUCAGGUGGUUGGUUUUGUUGGUAUGCGGUGAUGAACGCGCAACCUUGCACGCGGCCACAACAUUAUACACAAAACCGAGCUCCAACUCCCAGAAAUGCCCAUCAUUACCAAGCUCCAUAUAACCCCCAAUCAAAUAUUCCCCACUACAAUCCUCGCCCAAGAGAGCGUUUCAAAAGGAAUCAGUUCACCCCUAUUAGUGAAUCAUACUCGGGCUUGUUCCAAAAGCUAGUCAGGUGAGGUCUACUGUGGCCAGUGGCCCAAAAAAUCGGCCAAACCCCGAGCCCUCCUCUCACCGAGCUGAUGCUAGAUGUGAAUACUACUCUGGAGCAUUGGGGUACAGUACAGAGGACUGUUGGACCCUCAAAAGGGCAAUUGAAGAUUUGAUUGAAGCUGAAAGAAUCAUUCUCCGAGACGAAGAGGCUCCUAAUAUGAUGAACAAUCCUCUGCCUACUCUCACAAAUGGGCCAGUAGUCGGAAUGAUAUGUGAAGAUGAAGAAUUUGAUUCGGCACUGAAGUCCAUUGCAUCCAUUGCCGAGAUAGAAGAAAAAACAAAAAAAAUGAUCGUCAAGCCUGAAAGUUCCCUAUCAGACGGGAGUCUCGGUAGCCAGUCUUGCUAUCCUUUCUGUGACCGGAUUACCUCAGAGUGUGAUCCGGAUGUUUUACUUUAUUAUCUUACUUUCCGAUGUUAACCCUUCUAUCUUUAAAAUUCAAAAAAAAAUCAUCAAAAUCAAAAAUCAAAAAAAUCAAAUGAAAUUAAUAUUUUAUUUUCCAGGAAUAUCUCUUUUCUUAGUCUUGUCACUUUUCUUAUUUUUCUUUUCAAUUCUGUUAAAUGCAAAUUUCAAUAACAUGACAUGCUUGCAGACUUCAUGCCCAGAUCUUGAAAGCUGUCAGACCUCGAAAUAAUGAAUCAAGAAUUAGAUUGCAAAGAAAAUAAGUUUAAGGAAACAAAAUAAAGAGUUGGAGCAGUUAAAGGAAAAUUGAUUCCAGAUUGGAAAGAUCCAUACAUUGCAACAAGAGUACAGCCAAAAGAGUGCGUUGUACUUGGGACACAUUGAAGGAAAUGUCACGGAAACAACUGGCAAUGCAAAUGCAGUCAAAAGGUACUAUGUUGGAUCAUCUAUAUAACAUUAAUACUCUGAUUGGGAUGACGAAGGCUUUCAUAGUCCCUACCAAAAUACUAUCAACCCUUUGCAAACCUUUUGAGCCGGUUACUCUUCUUUGAUUACCCUCUUUGGAACCUGAAAGUGUUAUUGAAAAAAAAAAGAGAAAAUAAAAAAUGAAAAAUGAAAAAAAAAUAAAAAAAAAUAAAAAGAUACAAAAAAGGGGGAGGAAAAGACAAAGAAAAUGAAAGAGAGAGAGAGAGAGAGAGNNNNNNNNNNNNNNNNNNNNNNNNNNNNNNNNNNNNNNNNNNNNNNNNNNNNNNNNNNNNNNNNNNNNNNNNNNNNNNNNNNNNNNNNNNNNNNNNNNNNNNNNNNNNNNNNNNNNNNNNNNNNNNNNNNNNNNNNNNNNNNNNNNNNNNNNNNNNNNNNNNNNNNNNNNNNNNNNNNNNNNNNNNNNNNNNNNNNNNNNNNNNNNNNNNNNNNNNNNNNNNNNNNNNNNNNNNNNNNNNNNNNNNNNNNNNNNNNNNNNNNNNNNNNNNNNNNNNNNNNNNNNNNNNNNNNNNNNNNNNNNNNNNNNNNNNNNNNNNNNNNNNNNNNNNNNNNNNNNNNNNNNNNNNNNNNNNNNNNNNNNNNNNNNNNNNNNNNNNNNNNNNNNNNNNNNNNNNNNNNNNNNNNNNNNNNNNNNNNNNNNNNNNNNNNNNNNNNNNNNNNNNNNNNNNNNCCCUGAACUACGUUUGACUUGAUUCCGAAAGGAUACGUAGGCAGCCUCUCUCUGGGGUUCAGUCACAUCAAAACGAAAAUCCAAAUUCCCCAAAAGUUGAAACUGGGGAUGAAGUUAUAAAGGUUCGGCGAUGGUUUCGCCUGAAAGGUUCCAAAAUUGUAAUUAAAUCCAAAUUCUUUUUACCCCAAAUCAUGUUCAAGUCCUUCCGAUCAAUCGGUAAGAAUGUUCAAGGAAAAAAGAAUACAGUUACUUGGAUCCAAUACAGUCAAAAUGAGAGAAAUGAAAUAAGACAGUUUUAUUGGAGAAAACCCACACGGGCACUGUGAGGUGACAGUAAGCAGAGAAACAAAAUGAGAGAGUCUUAUUGGUGAAAACCCACACGGGCACCACGAGGCGAUGGUAAGCAGAGAAAUGAAAAAUGAGAGAGUCUUGUUAGUAAAAACUCGCAAGAUCACUACAAGGCGAUGGUGAGAAGAGAAAUAAGAAAGGUCAGCUCGUGAAAACCCGCAAAAGGCACCACUAAUCGAAAACGAGGAUCUUCAGUCACUGACAUUGAUGCAGUCCUGGGCAAGGUUUCUCGGUUUUGAGGCAAAAGCUAUGAUGAAUUUCUGAGAUUUGGACGGUUUGCACAGAUCAGGCAUCCAGUCCAAAAGGCAUGUCAUGUUCAUUGAAGUUCGCAUGUAAUCCAGAUAUGUCCUUCUUUUCUUUACCCGAAAGGGAUACCCCUUGUCUAAAUUCAUUUAUCAAUUCCUUUGUUUGUUUUUCUUUUGAAUCCUUUUCGGUCUAACUCUAUUCCGAAACUAAGACAAAGAAGGGAUGACAAGACUAAUUUACAGGGGUCUCAUUUGAUACAAGCCAAUAUGCAAAAAGGCACCCAACCUCGUCAGGGGGAAUCAAGUCGACCUCGACUAGCCAUGGGGGUCGAUGCUUCGAAAUCAGAACUCUCAGAAGGAGAAAAUCAAAUUGAAGUGCCUACAAAGGCAAAAUGAAGUUGAAAAGGUUGAGUCACACGUGGCUAACCGUCUCGGCAAAGAUUUGGAAAAAGCCAAGGUACCUCAAAAGCUCUAAAAUUGAAGUUGGAAGAAUGAAGCCAGAAAUGAAAGGCUUAUAAAGGCAAAAUAAAGUUGGAGAAGGUUAAGUCCCACGUGACUAGCCGUUGCGACUAAGUUUGAGGAGCAAAAAGUUUCCCAAUGCCCCGAAGUUAAAAAUUGAAAAAAAAAGAGUCAGAAGUGAAAGACCUACAAAGGCGAAAUAAAGUCGAAAAGGUUGAGUUCCACGUGACCAAACAUCAUGGCAAAGUCUGGAAAAACUAGAGGUUCUCCAGGGCCUGAAAUGAAAUCAGUCCUCAGGGAACAAGCAGUUGCAAUUGAGAUCUUCAUCAAAGAAGUCGGCUGAGAUCAAGUGAUUGAAAUAAUCAAGGCCACAAAACCAACCACCACUUCAAACUAACAAUUAUUUUUUGUUUGAAAACAUGAAACAUGUGCAAUCCAAAGCAACCUUGCAAGAAGCAGGUGCAACCAAAAAAGAAACUGCCAAGGGCUAGAAGCAACUUUGCAGCAAUAAUCAAUCCAAAAUGGUAGCCUAAGGUCCCCAAUCUCUAGCUACGUUUUUCCAACAUAGGAUCCUAUUCCCUAGUCGUUGCCAGCAUAACCUGGUAAUCUUUUCUAUUAUAGGGUUCCACUCCCUAGUUGAUCCCCGGCAUAACCCAUGGACCUCUCCAGCAUAACCCGAGGACCUUUUUCUUAUCCGGCAUAACCCGAGAACUUUUUUUUCUUUUCUGGCAUAACCCGAGGACUUUUCCGGCAUAACCCGAGGACCUUUUUCUUAUCUGACAUAACUCUAGGACUUUUUUUUUCUUUUCCGGCAUAACCCGAUGACUUUCCCGGCAUAACCCGAGGACCUUUUUCUUUUCCGGCAUAACCCGAUGAUCUUUCCCGGUAUAACACGUGGACAUCCCCGGCAUAACCCGAGGACCUUUUUCUUUUCUGGCAUAACCCGAUGAUCUUUCCUGGCAUAACCCGUGGACCUCCCCGGCAUAACCCGAGGACCUUUUUAUUUUUCGGCAUAACCCGAUGACUUUCCCAACAUAGCCCGUAGACCUCCCCGACAUAACUCGAUGACCUUUUUCUUUUCCGACAUAACCCGAUAACUUUUCCGGCGUAACCCGUGGGCCUCCUCGGCAUAACCCGAGGACCUUUUCUCUUUUCCAGCAUAACCUGAUGACUUUCCCGGCAUAACCCAUGGGCCUCCCCGGCAUAACCCGAGGACCUUUUUUCUUUUCCGGCAUAACCCGAUGACUUUCCCGACAUAACCCGUGGACCUCCCCGGCAUAACCCGAGGACCUUUUUUUGGCAUAACCCGAGGACAUUUUCUCUUUUCCAGCAUAACCCGAUGACCUUUCUCUGCAUAACCCGAGGACCUUUUUACCUUUUCCGGCAUAACCCGAUCAUCUUUCCAGCAUAACCUGACAAUCUUUCCAAUUUAGGGCUCCGAUCCCUAGUUGAUUUCAUUAUGGAUACAGGGUCUCCACUCCUUAAUCUCUUUUUCUCAGGGAUACACAAUCUCGAUUUUUUAUUGCUUUCAUUAAAGAAAUAGUUUAGAUUUUAUUACAAUAACUCACAAAAUUUUCCUAGUGAAAACUGGGGUAGAAAAAUUUCGUUCAUUUGUCUCCUUUGGUGCCUAAAUAGGUUUUCACCAAAAGAAGAAGUCUUAACCCAAAUAAAAGAAAAGAAGAAACAAGAAAAAGAAGUGAACUCAAAGUGCAGAAGCGGAGAAAGAUGCGGACUGCUCAAGAUGUGAUUGAAGUCGCAAGCUUCACAUGUCCCGCCUUGAUCCGAAAAGCUGAAGAAGAAGGAACCAGCACCUGCAGCUAACAAGCAUCAAGAUUCAUAUCAGAGUAUGCAUGAAGAACCAACCAAGACUCAAGGUCAAGCUUCAAAAGACUCAUAGAUAGGAAUAUUGUAACUCGUAGCUGAUAGGCUUAGUUAGUCUUUUUAAUUUUGAUUUUUAUGUAAUAACGGGACCACGGACCGGAAACUCGACGGCACCUCGCUCGGCUCUCAACCUUGGUACUCCAUCACCUCAUUCACUUCUGAACUACACGCGACCUGAUUCCCUUAUGACCCAGGAUAUGUAAGUUGUCCAAAAUCAGGACUCGGUUGCACCCUUUGCUUUGUUUAUUUUCUCUUUUGAAAUAAAAAGGAUUUGUUCAAAAAUUAGUCACAUGGCUCACCUUAUCUUUGCUUGUAAACUCCUCAUGUUUCCAAGCAAAGAGGGGCAGCUGUGAGCAGCUAAUUUUUUACCAUGUUUGAAUUUAUUCCCACUUUCUCCACUCACUUCCCACUUCCCCCACUUUAUCCACUCACUACCCACUUUCCCCACUCAUGUUCUCCACUCUACCCACUUUCCCAAAAAUAUUACCUACACUCUAAGACUAAAACAGCCUCAAUUCACCUUUUAAAAGUAGCUGAAACACGCAGCAAGAACCAGCUGGGAAGAGCGGCAAAAAUCAGCUGCAAGGCAGCCAAAAAAUGCUACUAAAACAGCACGAAAAACAUUCAAAACAGCAGCUCAAAUUGCUGCCAUUUUCGCUAAAAAAUAGACCUGGAAAUCCCAGUUCCAAAACACCUAAAACCGGCACCAAAAACCCGAUGAAAUACCGUAAAAAUCAGCUUAUAAACCCCUCCAUAAACCAGCCUUUAAAACCAUCUUCAAGCAGUCUCAAAGCAUCCCCAAAACCAGUAAAAAAUGCACCAAACUCCAGCUCAAAACCAUCAACUUCUCUAAAUGUUUCGGUCAAGCAUAGAGGUGUAUCGAGGUUCGAGGUUCGAGGUUCGAAGGCUUCGUCCGUGGUUCGCGGGCUCCAAAUAAUUUAUUGUUGUACAUUUGAGAUUCAUCUUCCUUUCCAGAUUCUUUUAAUAAUGCUUUAGCUUGGG
RNAcentral lists this long non-coding RNA (9737 nucleotides) under Nicotiana tabacum (common tobacco). Its description in RNAcentral is "long non-coding RNA (NTAB_LNC004606)". The record is from RNAcentral. Lineage: Eukaryota; Viridiplantae; Streptophyta; Magnoliopsida; Solanales; Solanaceae.